GACGAACGCUGGCGGCGUGCUUAACACAUGCAAGUCGAACGAAGUGGCGAACGGGUGAGUAACGCGUAAUCAACCUGCCCUUCAGAGGGGGACAACAGUUGGAAACGACUGCUAAUACCGACUACUGACGGAGGGGCUUGCGUCUGCUUAGCUAGGUGGAUGGGUAACGGCCCACAAAUGCGAUGAUCAGUAGAGUGUCUGAAGGGAUUACCGGACAAAUUGGGACUGCAAAACGGCCCAGACUGCUACGGGAGGCAGAAGUGGGGAGUCGUCCGUAAUGGACGAAAGUCUGAAGGAGCAACGCCGCGGGAGUGAUGACGGCCUUCGGGUUGUAAAGCGCUGUUAAUCGGGACGCGGUACCGGAAUAGAAAGCCACGGCUAACUACGUGCCAGCCGCCGCGGUAAUUC
This 408-nucleotide ribosomal RNA is filed under the name uncultured bacterium. RNAcentral's name for it is "partial 16S ribosomal RNA". It matches the Rfam family "Bacterial small subunit ribosomal RNA", at positions 28 to 526 of the family's 1533-position model. The record is from RNAcentral.